Molecule: RNA transcript, 2131 nt
Organism: Physcomitrium patens
Lineage: Eukaryota; Viridiplantae; Streptophyta; Bryopsida; Funariales; Funariaceae
Source: RefSeq, a predicted model, not a curated record
GCCCGUUCCAGCCAGCGGGAGAGGUAGAGAGGGUUUAGGAUUCCGAGCAUCUGCUUCGCAACAACGUUUGCUCUGCUUCAAUCUUCCCGAUCCAUCUGCCUCCAUCGUCGCCUUCAGGAUUGAAUGCCCAGCUGGGUUCAGGCAUAGGUGCCGCAAUAGAUGUGGGUUUGAAUAUUGACGGCUGAUUGCGGAGCUUUGUGAUCAUUUUUUGAAGAAAAAUUCCCUUUCAUCGCUAUUUUUUUAACUUGGAGCAGCGGCAAUGAAUCGUAAAGAUGGUGGGUGAGGGUCUUUUAUUUACUGCUGCAUAGCCUAAUUGGAAAGAAAACACUUCAAGACCGCCUGAUCAGAACAUCAAACUAUUGAAGUUCUUCAACAAGAGAUGGAGGCAUCCAUCCCUCCUCAACCGACUACUUCAAGCUCUUCUCGAGGGUACUCUUCAAGUGCUUCAUUCCGAGAGUCAGAUGUGGAGUUUCUACAAACUGAAGCUAGAGAAUGGCUGGAGGCAGUGCUGGAGGAAAAGCUGGACCCACAUACGAGCCUACAAGAUCUAUUAGCUGAUGGCACCAUUCUCUAUAGAAUAUCGCUGAUUGUAAAAGAAAACCUUGGUAAACUUAAAGGAAAUGCUGCGAACCGACCUGCCGCUGCAGUUCCCUCUCCAGACGUGAACCGGACCAGGACUAGCCUCAAGUAUCAACCUUACUCAUAUGUUGAAGCUUUCCUCAAGGUUUGCAAGGACGUAGGCUUGUUGGAUUUGGAUCUAUUCAACCCAUCUGAUGCAGUCGAUAAGAAAGAUAUACGCCACGUGUGUGUUUGCUUACUUAGGUUGUCAAAGAAAGCUCGAACAUUAAACAUUCAUUUGCCUGAUUUUGAUAAUCCGAAGCACACGCUACUCAGUCCUCCUCCUAAGCACUUAAUGCCUAGUGACGUAGUCCACAACCUUCGAGACUCUCUCCAGCAACCGUCAAAUGGACCUGCGUCGGCCAAAAGUAACAUUAUUUUGGAUCUCGAUAAGGAGAUCUCAUCGAGCGCUGCAGAUUUAUCAAUGGGUGACUCAGAAUCUAAUAGUGUUAGCCCAGAAGUAGAUUCAAGAGGACUUCAACAACCACGGAAUGCUCUGCAGGACCCAGAGAAUGUUGGUGAUUUCAGCGGGGAUCUCUCUGCUAUGGAGCCCAAGGACUUGGACGAAUACGUGAGACCUGUCAAUCACAAUGGUUUGUCUGAGAAGCCACAGCCCGUGGUUGAAUUGGGAAUUGGUACCUUAAAAGCUAGUCAAUCUCCUAGGAAGUCACCAGAUGCCCUGGAGCAGUAUGGGGCCAAAGAGAAGGGGAUGUCUCGCAACCCCAAGGGACGGUAUUCCUGGUUUCCAUACGCUGCUGGAGUUGUAUUUGUUGGUGUUUUGGUGGUCAUGGUAGUGGCCCGGGAGAGAAGACGGCCUUCACUAGGUGUGUACGAGGUUCAGCCAACGGAUUCCCUGGCGGAGAUUUCAAGGCGAACAGGAAAUGCAACAUGGCAAGAGUUAUGACGAACUGAUUGUUACUGCCGUAAAAGGUUUGUGGAUCUGGAAUGAGUGUCGGUUGAAUUUCACGCAGGGGUUACUGAACUGUGGUACAGCAACGGUCGUCGAAGUUUUCUGAUUUGUGGUUCAAGUCUGACAGGCCCCAGAGCUGACUGAAGCUUGUGACGGUGUCUCCCAUCUGGAAUUUCUCAUUCGUUCAAUUACGUUCUCAAGAAGGUACAUAAUUACUUACGACAUUCUAUAACGAACUAGCAGGAGACACCUAAACGAUAGAGGUGAGAACCACGUCGCGUGGUUUUGCCACACCAUCGUUGUUCGCACGCUCAGCAGUACUAAUAUCAUGCUUACAAGGGCGUGCAUAUAGUAGCAUUUUCCAUGCAAACGAGAAUUAUCUACUUUGUAAUAGAAUUGUGAACACUGGAGAAAUGAAGCUUCAAAAAACCCUGUAGGUGCUCCUUUCAGGCGUUGGGAGUAGUUCGAACGUGCUGGGAAAUUAAGAAGCCACGUCAUCAACCCAUCCAGCAUUGUCCCCUCGAAACUUGCAACCACUUCGUGUGGAAAUUGUAUCUGAACAAAAUUUCAUCAUGCAAUUGAUUUGUUGGUCGGAUAACAGGA